CAUCGCCGUUUGCAGCAAGCAGCAUGGAC
Molecule: non-coding RNA, 29 nt
Filed under: Mus musculus (house mouse)
Lineage: Eukaryota; Metazoa; Chordata; Mammalia; Rodentia; Muridae
Source: RNAcentral